GACCUCAAAUCAGGUAGGACUACCCGCUGAACUUAAGCAUAUCAAUAAGCGGAGGAAAAGAAACUAACAAGGAUUCCCCUAGUAACUGCGAGUGAAGCGGGAAAAGCUCAAAUUUAAAAUCUGGCGGUCUUUGGCCGUCCGAGUUGUAAUCUAGAGAAGUGUUAUCCGCGCUGGACCGUGUACAAGUCUCCUGGAAUGGAGCGUCAUAGAGGGUGAGAAUCCCGUCUUUGACACGGACUACCAGUGCUUUGUGAUACGCUCUCAAAGAGUCGAGUUGUUUGGGAAUGCAGCUCAAAAUGGGUGGUAAAUUCCAUCUAAAGCUAAAUAUUGGCGAGAGACCGAUAGCGAACAAGUACCGUGAGGGAAAGAUGAAAAGAACUUUGGAAAGAGAGUUAAACAGUACGUGAAAUUGCUGAAAGGGAAACGCUUGAAGUCAGUCGCGUUGGCCGGGGAUCAACCUUGCUUUUGCUGGGUGUACUUUCCGGUUGACGGGUCAGCAUCAAUUUUGACCGUUGGAUAAAGUGUAGGGGAAUGUGGCAUCUUCGGAUGUGUUAUAGCCUUUGCUCGUAUACAACGGUUGGGAUUGAGGAACUCAGUACGCCGCAAGGCCGGGAAUUUAUUCCACGUUCGUACUUAGGAUGCUGGCAUAAUGGCUUUAAUCGACCCGUCUUGAAACACGGACCAAGGAGUCUAACAUGCCUGCGAGUGUUUGGGUGGAAAACCCGAGCGCGUAAUGAAAGUGAAAGUUGAGAUCCCUGUCGUGGGGAGCAUCGACGCCCGGACCAGACCUUUUGUGACGGAUCUGCGGUAGAGCAUGUAUGUUGGGACCCGAAAGAUGGUGAACUAUGCCUGAAUAGGGUGAAGCCAGAGGAAACUCUGGUGGAGGCUCGUAGCGAUUCUGACGUGCAAAUCGAUCGUCAAAUUUGGGUAUAGGGGCGAAAGACUAAUCGAACCAUCUAGUAGCUGGUUCCU
RNAcentral lists this ribosomal RNA (972 nucleotides) under Deconica merdaria. Its description in RNAcentral is "partial large subunit ribosomal RNA". It matches the Rfam family "Eukaryotic large subunit ribosomal RNA", at positions 1 to 959 of the family's 3401-position model. The record is from RNAcentral. Lineage: Eukaryota; Fungi; Basidiomycota; Agaricomycetes; Agaricales; Kuehneromycetaceae.